Molecule: non-coding RNA, 719 nt
Organism: Paramuricea clavata
Lineage: Eukaryota; Metazoa; Cnidaria; Anthozoa; Malacalcyonacea; Plexauridae
Source: the annotation of a GenBank genome assembly
UUAUUAUAGAGAGUGUACUGAAAAAUCAUACAGGAACGGAGGACGACGUGUGCCAGGCAAUAAAAAAAAUUUUAAAAUAUGCGCCUGAUCGAAAAGGUGGCAGCGGGAGAAAGUAAAAACAUAGUUGAUACAAAAUAACGACCAUGGUUUGGAAGGCCGGUAAACUUCAAAGAGUCACUUACUCAAACUUUAACUGAUGUUGAAAUCUGGGUAAACGAGAUUCCGAGUGCACAAAUGUUAUCUUGCGUUGAUAUAAUAUUAAAAUAUUAAUGUUUAGCCACAGAAGUCGCUUUUCAAUUGGACAAUCGUUUCGUUAUACAUAAUCCGAGUGCACAAAUCUUCAGCGUACACCAACAUAUAUAGAACAGUGACUUUUGUCAAGCUUCCAAACCAUGGUUAUUUUCUAUUAAUCACGAUAACGUUAAAUAAUUUUAAAAGACUAUAGACUUUGAUAUAUAAAUUAUAUUUUGAUGAAAUUCAAAUUAGUGUUAAUGCUUGAAAAAGCCCUGUACCCCAUAUGUGUUCCUUCUGCCUUAUUCCUAACCCAUGGGAGACGCAGUGCGUUCGAUGCAUUAAACUAAUUUGAAUUUCAUCUAAAUAUCAUUUUUAAUACCGUUUUUUUGACUUUCAUCUAAAUAUAAUUAUUAAUACCGUUUUUUUGACACGCUGUGUGUAAUAACGAUCUGGAUAGCAUCAAUUAAUAACUUUGUGUGUAGUAG